This 1338-nucleotide long non-coding RNA is filed under the name Ornithorhynchus anatinus (platypus). RNAcentral describes it as "lncRNA (ENSOANG00000049614.1)". The record is from RNAcentral. Lineage: Eukaryota; Metazoa; Chordata; Mammalia; Monotremata; Ornithorhynchidae.
GGCUCAGUCAGGGAAGGUCUCUUGGAGAUGUGGUUUUAAUGAGGUUUGGAAGGUUGGGAGAGUGAUCAUACAGUGAUCACAGUCAGUCAUAUGUAUUGAGUUCUUAGCGUGUGCUGAGCGUUGUAUUAAGUCUUUGGGAGAGUACAACGUGAUAGACACAUUCUCUGCCCGCAACGAGCUUACAGUCUAGAGGAGGAGUCCGACAUUAAUAUUAUUGUUGUAUUGUACUUUCCCAAGGGCUUAGUACAGUGCUCUGCGUACAAUAAGCGCUCAAUAAAUAAGAUUGAAUGAAUGAUCGAAUGAAACAGUAAAAGUACAACUGUGGACACAAGUGCUAUGGGGCAGGGAGGGAGGGAGGGACCAGGUCAGGGCUCUGGUUCUGACCGCUCCUCUCCCCGUAGGCCGAAACAGAGGAAUCUGGUUCCCAGGCGUGGGCAGAGUUGCCCAGAUCUACCCGGAAGCAGCCGGAAGGCUGGAAAGAGGAGCCGGUCGGAGGCGGACCUGCGGAGACGGUCUCUGAGUCGCUGGCUGGCCAGUCUGUGGCAUCUGGCCGCCCCCCGGAGCCCCUCGAAGCCCGCCCAGCCCCUGGGGCGCCUGCAGAGGCCGGCGGUGGGCAGCACCUCGGACCUGGCCAGCCAUGCCCGCUGCGCCCCCCGGGACCACCCGGCCCCGGAGUCCCCGACGUCCCCCGAGGUCGAGGGCCGCCCCGUGCUGGGCAGUGCCAGGGGGACCGCCGGACCCUUGGGCGGGGCGGGGGUCGGGCCGGCCUCGGGGGCUGGGGAGGGGGCGGAGGCGCCGUGGCAAGAACCUGCCGGACCAGGUCCUCGCCCCGCCGCCCCACAGGGAUUCCAGGGCCGGGCCCGGAUCCCGGGCAGCCCGCCUCCUCCCCGGGGACUCCGCCCCAUCCCGGGGAGCCCUGCCGCCGCCCGGUGCCCCUGCCGGUGCCCGCGCCGGUGCCCGCACCGGUGCCCGCCGAGUGCGGACAGGCGCCAGGAGCGGCCGCGGCCUCGGCCCGGGGACUCCGGAGCAGCCGGUCCUGCCCAGCCCUCGGCAGAGCGCAGGUGAGUAGGGCAGGCCGGGGGCCGGGGGGCGGGGGGUCAGCCUGCCACUCCACCGGCCCCGGCACUUCAUUCAUUCGAGGACCGGAUCCCUCCCCUCCUCCGGGGGCACCUCCCACGGCUGGGCACCCCGAGCCAGCCCACUCCCACCUCCUAGCACCACCUCGCCGGGAACCCUGCUUAGGGACCCGGAGUCGGGGGGGAGAUGUGAGUUAUCCAAGUCACCUGAAAUGUCUCCCGUGCCACCGCAAUGCCCUGGGAGAUUGCCCCGGAUUGAGAA